CCUUUAACGAUAGGAAAAUGUCCUUUCCAUCCAUAACCCCGGUCUGUCGCGAACAACAACAAACAAAGAUAAGGAAAAUCAGGGUGUGACGGAGCAGCAGGUGUGUGUGUGUGACGGAGCAGCAGGUGUGUGUGUGUGACGGAGCAGCAGGUGUGUGUGUGUGACGGAGCAGCAGGUGUGUGUGUGUGACGGAGCAGCAGGUGUGUGUGUGACGGAGCAGCAGGUGUGUGUGACGGAGCAGCAGGUGUGUGUGACGGAGCAGCAGGUGUGUGUGUAACGGAGCAGCAGGUGUGUGUGUGUGACGGAGCAGCAGGUGUGUGUGUAACGGAGCAGCAGGUGUGUGUGUGUGACGGAGCAGCAGGUGUGUGUGUGACGGAGCAGCAGGUGUGUGUGUGUGACGGAGCAGCAGGUGUGUGUGUAACGGAGCAGCAGGUGUGUGUAACGGAGCAGCAGGUGUGUGUGUGCGUUUCAAAAACAAAAGGGGGUGUGUGUGUUCAACAGGGGCCCAAGCAUGUCGCCCCAUUCAUCUGUAGAGAAUCGUUUGAAACCAAGGUGCACUAUCAUGCAUACGGCAUGUCCAGAUAUCUGCCGACCCCCCAGGGUUAAACAUUGAUAUCUCCAACCA
Oncorhynchus keta (chum salmon) is the source of this 625-nucleotide long non-coding RNA. RefSeq lists it as uncharacterized. The record is from RefSeq and is a predicted model, not a curated record. The transcript has 3 exons. NCBI's taxonomy places the organism in Eukaryota, Metazoa, Chordata, Actinopteri, Salmoniformes, Salmonidae.